UGGGGAAUUUUGGACAAUGGGGGCAACCCUGAUCCAGCAAUGCCGCGUGAGUGACGAAGGCCUUAGGGUUGUAAAGCUCUUUUACCAGGGACGAUAAUGACGGUACCUGGAGAAUAAGCCCCGGCAAACUUCGUGCCAGCAGCCGCGGUAAUACGAAGGGGGCUAGCGUUGUUCGGAAUUACUGGGCGUAAAGCGCACGUAGGCGGAUUGUUAAGUCAGAGGUGAAAUCCCGGAGCUCAACUUCUGAACUGCCUUUGAUACUGGCAAUCUCGAGUCCGGAAGAGGUUAGUGGAAUUCCCAGUGUAGAGGUGAAAUUCGUAGAUAUUGGGAAGAACACCAGUGGCGAAGGCGGCUAACUGGUCCGGUACUGACGCUGAGGUGCGAAAGCGUGGGGAGCAAACAGGAUUAGAUACCCCCGUAGUCCCUGAGCGGGCUGGCAAGGCGCAU
This 447-nucleotide ribosomal RNA is filed under the name uncultured bacterium. RNAcentral describes it as "bacterial SSU rRNA". It matches the Rfam family "Bacterial small subunit ribosomal RNA", at positions 355 to 825 of the family's 1533-position model. The record is from RNAcentral.